CAGGAAUCUUGAACCUCAGAACAGAUGAAGUUCAUGACAGCUUGAAGGAACAAAAAAGCAGCAGGCUCAGCUGCCAGCAUAGCAGCUUUCUAAGAUAGAGAGAACCAGCAAAACAAUGUUUGACAGGAACAUGAGUUCCAGCAAGUACAUUUCUUCAGGCAUCAUUCAACUCUAAAGUACGGAACAAAUAACAAGCCAGCAAACCAAGGCUGAAUGUAAAACACAGUCAAAACGAUUUGCUGCUUGGCAGAUUAUAAUGGCACUUCCCAGAUCUGUCUGUAAUUAGAGCCCCAAGCUAUGGUACUUUUGUGUGAGAAGCUAAAAAUGGGUUUGCACCACCAAGUUUACAGAGCUCAAAGGGAAACUGAAGUUCGUAAAGUGAAAAGUCUUCAAGGCCAAUGGACAAUGAAAGCCACAGCCAGAAUUGUAACUGUUCUCUGUUCAACUCUCAUUUCAAAAGUAGCAUCCACCAAAUGUGAAGCAAAACUGGAUCUUCUCAUUUGUGAUUAAGACACAACACCUCCACAUUACAUAACACCACUAUUUUUCCCUUGAUUCAUUAUUUC
Molecule: long non-coding RNA, 566 nt
Filed under: Gallus gallus (chicken)
Lineage: Eukaryota; Metazoa; Chordata; Aves; Galliformes; Phasianidae
Description: long non-coding RNA NONGGAT011630
Source: RNAcentral